CCCUCCUACAAAGGUGUGUUGAUGGUUUCCUAUCCUUGGCUACGUAAUAAUUGGAGGCAAAAAGUUGUAACCUGGAAGAAGGCUGGAGCCCGUUUGUUCCCUGUAGGCUCAAGAUAAUCCUUUCCCACACAA
RNAcentral lists this small nucleolar RNA (132 nucleotides) under Dasypus novemcinctus (nine-banded armadillo). Its description in RNAcentral is "Small nucleolar RNA SNORA38 (ENSDNOG00000031541.1)". It matches the Rfam family "Small nucleolar RNA SNORA38". From Rfam's summary of the family: ACA38 is a member of the H/ACA class of snoRNA that guide the sites of modification of uridines to pseudouridines. The record is from RNAcentral. Lineage: Eukaryota; Metazoa; Chordata; Mammalia; Cingulata; Dasypodidae.